AGGCUCUCUGGUGUCGGAUGGAGGGUCCAGGUAUUCAUGAUCAGGAGAUGACCUUGGAGGAGCAGCGGAAAGCAAUACUCGCGCUAAAGACUGAGAAGAGAAAACUAGUUGGAUCUAAAGAAAAUUCAGUGUACAAAUGCUAAAUGUAAUGUUUGGAUCAUAUUGGGGUUUACUGAUUGGAUCAUAUGUUCAGAUCAGUACUAAACGUGGUACUGUACUUUGCAAAUGCUAGAGUGGUAUUUCCUACUUGCAAAACAAAAUUCAGUUUAGCAUGUAAUGUUUGGAUCAUAAGUUUACAAAUGUUGAUUCUGAA
This is a long non-coding RNA of Triticum dicoccoides, 313 nucleotides long. RefSeq lists it as uncharacterized. Lineage: Eukaryota; Viridiplantae; Streptophyta; Magnoliopsida; Poales; Poaceae. The transcript has 2 exons. The record is from RefSeq and is a predicted model, not a curated record.